This is a non-coding RNA of Bemisia tabaci, 2970 nucleotides long. The record is from RefSeq and is a predicted model, not a curated record. NCBI's taxonomy places the organism in Eukaryota, Metazoa, Arthropoda, Insecta, Hemiptera, Aleyrodidae.
UUGUUGAACUUUUUCAUGAAAUUUUGGCAGUUUUCACGAGAUUUUACGCUUGGGAAGCCACGCUUAACCCAAUGAAAAUUUCUUGCAACUGCUCCAUUUUAGAGAUGGGGGAGAAGAAUUUAAGGCAGCAACAUUAUCAAUCGACUGUCGUGAUUACGUUAUCAUUCAAAUCCAAAGUUUAAUUCGGGCCUCGAGUUGUAAUGUUAUAGGAAGUGAAAGUACACAAAAAUAUCACUCGGUUUCAAGUAUGUGGGGUAAAUCUACGUGUGUAAGCAACAUGUAGUAUUUUUUUCUGUGUGAAAAAAAAAUUAACUUUUAACUUUAUGUAAACACUUAAGAAGCUAUUAAACACACAUCUCUCAUUAAGAAAAGGAUAGCUUAUCAGCGUUAACAUGCAUUAUCUUAUCAUCAUGUCUGCAUGUGUCGUUUCGCUUGAACGCACGUUUGCGCAUCCCUCACCUGGUGAAAAACUAAUUUUUCCCAAUAGACAACACAACAUGUCGUUAGACUCAGGUCGGAAUGCGUAUCCUUCCAAAGCACCAAAGAGCACGGGGAACUCUGGUGCUAGUCCUGAGAGUAUACAAGAUUUGGCCGCGGAUAAGGAUAAAUUCGGUUACAUCAUGUAUGCUGGUCGAAUUUUCUCCGCUCUGAACACCGAUCCAAGGUACAAAGAGAUGCAAGAGAAACUGAAAAAUCCAGAAUCGAGAAGUCGCGCACUACUUGAUUUUUUGGGAGCAAUGUCAAAUACUACGCGUACAAAACUGGACAAAAUCAAAGCGGAAGAGGCUCAAAAGUAUCUGAAAAAAUGCGAAAGUCCAAAGGAUGGGACGGAGCCUCCAAAGCCAGAUUAUAUUGACACGGAUCAUCCUGGGAAGUUCACUAUAAUAGAUUUAAGUCAAGUCUUUACUAAGUUUGCAAGCAUGCGAUCACUCAUGGAGAAAUUCUUGGGAGGACAAAAAAUGAAUUAACACGCUUGUCUUACCCUCAAUGUUGUUUUGGCGCUACCGUAUUUUUUGCUGUAACUGUUGCCGUAAAUAAGGAGGUUGGUUUCAAACGUCACAAAAUCAAUCAACAACAUCUUUUAGCUUGCAAAUCUUAUCUUUUUCAUCGCAAAAGAAAUUUUGGCCUCGACUUCAUUUUUUAAAGCGGUUAGGAAACACGUACUCGGACCUCGUGUUUUAACUUCUCUCCCGAAUCUGCGUGGCAUCUUAUUGGCAGCGUAGAGCAGAGCGUUACGAGGCCUCGCGGCAUCGCGCCUUCAAUUUUUCAGAUGCAACACGGACAUUCAUCAAGCACGAAUAGUUGUAUCUCUGCGCCGUCAUCAACGCGCGUCCUUUCCCUUAUUUUAUUUACUUAUUGUGUUUGUUUCUGAAGGGCUACGAGGACAACACAGCCGAAGAUAGAAGAGACGUAAUCGGGUCUCAUUUUUUAACUUUUCUCCCGAAUCCGAGCGAUACCUCAUUGGCUGCAUAGAUCGUGGCAUUAUGAGGAUACGCCUCACGCCAUCGCACUCUCAAUUUCGCGUAUGCAACGUGGACAUCCAUCAAACACGAAUAGUUGUGUUUUUGAGCUGACAUCGCCACGCGUUUCAGAGGAAGAUUUGAGGAGAGUUGAGAUUGAGUCGGCUCAAAAUAUACUGUGAUGUGUUCAAAUAAAUUAUCAUUUUGAAAAAAGAAAAAAUUAAAGGUAUCUCCAUCGCCUUGAAGAGAGCACGUUUAAAAAUUGGUAUAUUUGCGAGAGUUGUAUCAUGUGCCAGGGACUUUGAUUUUGACGACCACUCCUAGAAAAACCAAGCCGGGUCAAAUUGGCCCGACUAUUCCCACUGGGGAAGUUACAUACGUCGGUUGAGGAAGGAGGUGAGAAAGCAACAGUAUUUUACAAAAAGUUGAAAUUUUAAAUAAAAAGUAUUCAUUUUCCUUCAAAAACGUACUUCAAACAACAUUAACAAUACUUCAAAAACUUAUAUACAGCAAUUUAUUUAAAUACCGCUCACUUUGACCCGGCUGAGGACUUCGCUUUCGUUUAAAAAGUCGUGGACAUCAUCGUGCGAUCUGCUAAAGAAAGUCAGAGCGCCUGCAAUUCGUUUGGUAUGCAGCACGGACAUCCGAAGAACACGAAUCGUUGUAUCCAGACCUAGCCAUUCAAAAAGCCGGAACCAGGUCCCCCACACCCAUCGGUGGGCCCCCCUUUUAGUAAACUAUCUUAGGGGGGGUCUGGGGGGACCGCCCCCCAGUAGGAGGGGGGUUCGGGGGGCCACCCCCGAAAAUCUUUUAAAAUUUUGCCUCCAAUCUGAGUAAUUUCAUGCUAUUUCCGCACUUAUAUUAGUGUAUGCAAGAUUUUUGCCCUUUCAAAAUCUCAGAAUAAUUGCAGUUGUUUGAAAAUGUGUAAUGAGCCGUUAUAAAAAAAAAAAAAAACAAUAUUCGACGUAUAAUUUUUUUUAAAUAUAAAUAGAAAAAAACUUAUUUUAAAUAUAAGUAGGUCUUUAAUGCCUGAAGUAAACUAUUAAAUCAGUUCUGACGUGGGUAAAAUUUUACCUUUGAUGAAAGAGAAGGAAAAUAGAAGGAGAUAAAAACAUAUUAAAAAUUCAGCUUAUUGCACAAAAAAAUAUACAUCUGAAAUUAGAUGAGGACAAUGUUUUGGCAAAGGAUAGGCUAUCCCAAGGGCCGACGCAAGCCUGUCUGAGCCUCGAGCAAAAUCUCAAUUAACAAAAUUAUUUUACUUUUGCCGGCAGAUUGGUAAUACAAAUGGAUACUUUUGCGAUUCUGGGAGGCCCUACCGCCUACCGGGCCCCCCCAGGCCUUGGGCCCCGGGGCUGGAGUCCCAGCAACCCUCCCUAUGUGGGGGGCCUGGAACAUCUAAGGGUUCAUAAGUUGAACCUUUGGGCUGAACUCAUUUAUUUGUUUUACUUGUUAUACUUUUUACUUUGUUUUAUUUGUUAUACAUUCAAAAUAUACUUUAUUGGUAUCCUUA